This 2883-nucleotide ribosomal RNA is filed under the name Escherichia coli. RNAcentral describes it as "bacterial LSU rRNA". It matches the Rfam family "Bacterial large subunit ribosomal RNA". Lineage: Bacteria; Pseudomonadati; Pseudomonadota; Gammaproteobacteria; Enterobacterales; Enterobacteriaceae. The record is from RNAcentral.
UUAAGUGACUAAGCGUACACGGUGGAUGCCCUGGCAGUCAGAGGCGAUGAAGGACGUGCUAAUCUGCGAUAAGCGUCGGUAAGGUGAUAUGAACCGUUAUAACCGGCGAUUUCCGAAUGGGGAAACCCAGUGUGUUUCGACACACUAUCAUUAACUGAAUCCAUAGGUUAAUGAGGCGAACCGGGGGAACUGAAACAUCUAAGUACCCCGAGGAAAAGAAAUCAACCGAGAUUCCCCCAGUAGCGGCGAGCGAACGGGGAGCAGCCCAGAGCCUGAAUCAGUGUGUGUGUUAGUGGAAGCGUCUGGAAAGGCGCGCGAUACAGGGUGACAGCCCCGUACACAAAAAUGCACAUGCUGUGAGCUCGAUGAGUAGGGCGGGACACGUGGUAUCCUGUCUGAAUAUGGGGGGACCAUCCUCCAAGGCUAAAUACUCCUGACUGACCGAUAGUGAACCAGUACCGUGAGGGAAAGGCGAAAAGAACCCCGGCGAGGGGAGUGAAAAAGAACCUGAAACCGUGUACGUACAAGCAGUGGGAGCACGCUUAGGCGUGUGACUGCGUACCUUUUGUAUAAUGGGUCAGCGACUUAUAUUCUGUAGCAAGGUUAACCGAAUAGGGGAGCCGAAGGGAAACCGAGUCUUAACUGGGCGUUAAGUUGCAGGGUAUAGACCCGAAACCCGGUGAUCUAGCCAUGGGCAGGUUGAAGGUUGGGUAACACUAACUGGAGGACCGAACCGACUAAUGUUGAAAAAUUAGCGGAUGACUUGUGGCUGGGGGUGAAAGGCCAAUCAAACCGGGAGAUAGCUGGUUCUCCCCGAAAGCUAUUUAGGUAGCGCCUCGUGAAUUCAUCUCCGGGGGUAGAGCACUGUUUCGGCAAGGGGGUCAUCCCGACUUACCAACCCGAUGCAAACUGCGAAUACCGGAGAAUGUUAUCACGGGAGACACACGGCGGGUGCUAACGUCCGUCGUGAAGAGGAAACAACCCAGACCGCCAGCUAAGGUCCCAAAGUCAUGGUUAAGUGGGAAACGAUGUGGAAGGCCCAGACAGCGGAUGUUGGCUUAGAAGCAGCCAUCAUUUAAAGAAAGCGUAAUAGCUCACUGGUCGAGUCGGCCUGCGCGGAAGAUGUAACGGGCUAAACCAUGCACCGAAGCUGCGGCAGCGACGCUGAUGCGUUGUUGGGUAGGGGAGCGUUCUGUAAGCCUGCGAAGGUGUGCUGUGAGGCAUGCUGGAGGUAUCAGAAGUGCGAAUGCUGACAUAAGUAACGAUAAAGCGGGUGAAAAGCCCGCUCGCCGGAAGACCAAGGGUUCCUGUCCAACGUUAAUCGGGGCAGGGUGAGUCGACCCCUAAGGCGAGGCCGAAAGGCGUAGUCGAUGGGAAACAGGUUAAUAUUCCUGUACUUGGUGUUACUGCGAAGGGGGGACGGAGAAGGCUAUGUUGGCCGGGCGACGGUUGUCCCGGUUUAAGCGUGUAGGCUGGUUUUCCAGGCAAAUCCGGAAAAUCAAGGCUGAGGCGUGAUGACGAGGCACUACGGUGCUGAAGCAACAAAUGCCCUGCUUCCAGGAAAAGCCUCUAAGCAUCAGGUAACAUCAAAUCGUACCCCAAACCGACACAGGUGGUCAGGUAGAGAAUACCAAGGCGCUUGAGAGAACUCGGGUGAAGGAACUAGGCAAAAUGGUGCCGUAACUUCGGGAGAAGGCACGCUGAUAUGUAGGUGAAGUCCCUUGCGGAUGGAGCUGAAAUCAGUCGAAGAUACCAGCUGGCUGCAACUGUUUAUUAAAAACACAGCACUGUGCAAACACGAAAGUGGACGUAUACGGUGUGACGCCUGCCCGGUGCCGGAAGGUUAAUUGAUGGGUUAGCAAGCGAAGCUCUUGAUCGAAGCCCGGUAAACGGCGGCCGUAACUAUAACGGUCCUAAGGUAGCGAAAUUCCUUGUCGGGUAAGUUCCGACCUGCACGAAUGGCGUAAUGAUGGCGGGCUGUCUCCACCGAGACUCAGUGAAAUUGAACUCGCUGUGAAGAUGCAGUGUACCCGCGGCAAGACGGAAAGACCCGUGAACCUUUACUUGACACUGAACAUUGAGCCUUGAUGUGUAGGAUAGGUGGGAGGCUUUGAAGUGUGGACGCCAGUCUGCAUGGAGCCGACCUUGAAAUACCACCCUUUAAUGUUUGAUGUUCUAACGUGGACCCGUGAUCCGGGUUGCGGACAGUGUCUGGUGGGUAGUUUGACUGGGGCGGUCUCCUCCUAAAGAGUAACGGAGGAGCACGAAGGUUGGCUAAUCCUGGUCGGACAUCAGGAGGUUAGUGCAAUGGCAUAAGCCAGCUUGACUGCGAGCGUGACGGCGCGAGCAGGUGCGAAAGCAGGUCAUAGUGAUCCGGUGGUUCUGAAUGGAAGGGCCAUCGCUCAACGGAUAAAAGGUACUCCGGGGAUAACAGGCUGAUACCGCCCAAGAGUUCAUAUCGACGGCGGUGUUUGGCACCUCGAUGUCGGCUCAUCACAUCCUGGGGCUGAAGUAGGUCCCAAGGGUAUGGCUGUUCGCCAUUUAAAGUGGUACGCGAGCUGGGUUUAGAACGUCGUGAGACAGUUCGGUCCCUAUCUGCCGUGGGCGCUGGAGAACUGAGGGGGGCUGCUCCUAGUACGAGAGGACCGGAGUGGACGCAUCACUGGUGUUCGGGUUGUCAUGCCAAUGGCACUGCCCGGUAGCUAAAUGCGGAAGAGAUAAGUGCUGAAAGCAUCUAAGCACGAAACUUGCCCCGAGAUGAGUUCUCCCUGACCCUUUAAGGGUCCUGAAGGAACGUUGAAGACGACGACGUUGAUAGGCCGGGUGUGUAAGCGCAGCGAUGCGUUGAGCUAACCGGUACUAAUGAACCGUGAGGCUUAACCU